CCAUCCCUCCCCUCGUCUCCCUCCCAAACCUUGCCGCCGGCAGCCUCUCCCCCUCCUAUCCGCUUCCCUCCCACCUCGUCCCCAUCUCUCUCCCGCAGGACGUUGGCAGAUUAGGAGCAAAAACAAAAUCCCCCAAGCCCAACCCACUUCCUCUGCCCUCUUCCUCGAUCCCGUGUCCGCCGCCGCCCCUCAUCUGCACCGGCACCGGGCUUCCCUGCCGGUGACCUCGCUGCCCUUCUCCCGCACCGCUGCCGCCCCCACCCUCUCGCCCUUCCUCAUCUUCUGUCUCUUCGCUUGGCCGUUGCGCGACUGUCUCUUCCCCAUCUUCUCCCGCUUCCCCCCACCCAACCAACACGUUGACAUGCAGACACGCUUCGCCACGCGUCGGAGCGGCAUCGGCGAGCCAUGAAGGGCGGCGGAGCCAUCUGGAGCGGUGGCGGGGGCGGCGGCGGGCUGAUGCGGACGCGACUGCGGCUCCCCGUGGUGCUCCUCUCCUGCUCCCUCUUCUUCCUCACCGGCUUCCUCAGCUCCCUCCUCUUCACCUAGGAUCCGCAGGGGGAGGAGGACGUGGAGCAGCCGCUGCGGAGGGAGCGGCUCAUGGAGGCGGUCUAGCCGGAGAUGGCAUACGGGGAGUCCGGCGAGCCCGCGCCCUCCUUGAUCCCUUACUAGGUCAUGCCUCGUCCCGAUUCCCUUCGUCGCAUUUCCAUUUUGUUCUUCGGGGAUUUCGUUUAGGCUUUGCGGUGUCAGUGACCACUGAUUAGCAUUGGGGACAAUGGAAGAUGGCGUUCGUGAAAUUUUUGGUGAGGAUGCAUGCUGCAUUCGUUGGUGACGUGCAAGUUGCGAGAGUGUACGAACACGGAUCAGUUGCUGCUCUAAACCCAACAAUUCGGAGGAGGAAUGCAUGAGAAGCGAGUCCCCCAGCGAUGCCAAGGUCACACUGUUGUUUUGUUGUGGUUGAUAAACCUGAGACUUCUUUCUAUUCUUCAAGGCGGUUUGGUUUAGGCCAGCCAUGGAGCAGAAAGAACGGACAUUGCUACUUAAGCAAGAGGGAAGACCCGACGAGGCCAUUAUGCUUACCUUGCUCGAGCGCAUCAACCCCGACCAUGGCACCACAUUCACAGUCUUGAGGUAGCCGUGCUGCAACUACAUCAACGCUAUCUUCUCUGACUAGAUAAGGCUUCGGUCUAUCCCAUUAUUUUCUUUUCUUCUUUGGUCGAUGGGCCAUGAUGCCAUUGUGUUGAUUCCCUAUGUGAUGCAGAAGCUAUGGUGUUUUGUUUUAAGUCUGUUGUAAAUUGUAAUUGAUAAUGAUUUGUGUAAAAUUAGUGUAGAACAUAUGUCUUGUUAUCUUAAAUCGUUCGUGUCGUGCUCAAUGAACCAUCAAAGAUUAAAUCGUUUUCUGCAUUCAACAUCUAGAACCAUUCUAGGAGUUUUGGUAUACAUGCAACAACUAUGCCUUCUUGUAUUCUGAACAACCAUUUCUGGAAGUUUUGGUAUUCAUGCAACAGCUAGUCCUUGUGGUUAUUACGGUUACAUGUUACAUGUAGAGAUGGUUCAUGAUUUAGUCCCUAGCUGCUUUCUAUAUUUGUUUUUAUUUUGUUUCUAACUCUUUUGGUUAAUUGUUAGAUGCCUUUGUUCAGCCUGUACGGACAUUUCCAGAAAUGGUGUUUCCUCUCAUGUAAAGAGCUCCAGCCUGAAAGUGAAGAAGUCUGGAGUGUAUAUGUAGUAGGUUUAUAUGUUGUGAUGGUAUCACAUGUAAUGAUGAAAUGAAUUAUGUAAAGAUUGUGCUAUUAGCCAAAAUUGGC
Triticum aestivum (bread wheat) is the source of this 1802-nucleotide long non-coding RNA. RefSeq lists it as uncharacterized. The record is from RefSeq and is a predicted model, not a curated record. The transcript is spliced from 5 exons. NCBI's taxonomy places the organism in Eukaryota, Viridiplantae, Streptophyta, Magnoliopsida, Poales, Poaceae.